Molecule: long non-coding RNA, 598 nt
Filed under: Vulpes vulpes (red fox)
Lineage: Eukaryota; Metazoa; Chordata; Mammalia; Carnivora; Canidae
Description: lncRNA (ENSVVUG00000020092.1)
Source: RNAcentral
CAGGCAUCCCCUAUAGGUGUUUUUAAUUGUAUGGAUUGGUGAGACUAGGCCACUGACCAACCUACAUUAAAUUUAUAAGAUUUAUACAUUCCAAGACUUAUAGUUCAUAAAUUACACAAUUUACAAGGUUUACAGACAUCAGGUAACGUCCUGUGCAGAGUAAAACAUGGUAGGUGCCACACUCAUUUCCUUUUCUGUCUGCACAGAUCUCAUGUUCAUUAGAUUAUUGUGAUGGCUAUAUUCUAACUUGGGACAAAUGGAACAGAUUUCAUGCCGGUCUUGUGGAGGAUAAGUCACUCGGCUGGUGCAGUGCUGCUUCCUGAGAAUGCUACAGAGAAGAAUCUAGAUCUAGCCUGCACACCGUUUCUCCCCUUCAACAGGCACAAGACUCGUAAAUGUGAGGGAAAGAAAAAUCAGGGGUUACAAAGAGCUUUUAUGGCAAUUUCUUCUCUAUCAGGUGGCAACGUGAAAAGCUUUGACAUUAUUAAACCUCCUAAAGCUUAUUCCCAAGUUUAGGACUUAUCUGGUAAGCUGACUAAAGAAUAGUUUCCCUUUUGAUUAGACUCCGUUAUAUAGAAACUUCUCAUCUGAGUUUUAA